GGAUUGAAAUAAAGUAACGAAGUCCGUGAGCCAUGCGUCAAGAAAAGCCGCUAUUGUUUAUACCGUACCCGUACCGUAAACCGACACAGGUGGAUGAGGAGAGAAUCCUAAGGCCGGCGGAAGAAGCAUUGUCAAGGAACUCGGCAAAAUGGCCCCGUAACUUAGGGAUAAGGGGUGCCUGGGAAACCAGGCCGCAGAGAAUAGGCUCAAGCAACUGUUUAGCAAAAACACAGGUCUAUGCGAAACCGAAAGGUGAGGUAUAUGGGCUGACGCCUGCCCGGUGCUGGAAGGUUAAGAGGAGAGGUUAGCGCAAGCGAAGCUUUGAAUUUAAGCCCCAGUAAACGGCGGCCGUAACAAUAACGGUCCUAAGGUAGCGAAAUUCCUUGUCGGGUAAGUUCCGACCCGCACGAAAGGCGUAAUGAUUUGAGCGCUGUCUCGACAAUGCAUCCGGUGAAAUUGAAGUACCAGUGAAGAUGCUGGUUACCUGCGCCAGGACGGAAAGACCCCAUGGAGCUUUACUCCAGUUUGGUACUGGGACUCGGUAUUGCAUGUACAGGAUAGGUGGGAGGCUAGGAGACAGUAACGCCAGUUAUUGUGGAGCCGCUGUUGGGAUACCACCCUUGCAGUAUUGGGUUUCUAACCAGCCGCCGUGACCCGGCGGUGGGACAAUGCCAGACGGGGAGUUUGACUGGGGCGGUCGCCUCCGAAAGGGUAUCGGAGGCGCCCAAAGGUUCCCUCAGAAUGGACGGAAACCAUUCGAAGAGUGCAAAGGCAGAAGGGAGCUUGACUGCGACACCGACGGGUGGAGCAGGUACGAAAGUAGGGCUUAGUGAUCCGGUGGUAUUAAGUGGGAAUGCCAUCGCUCAACGGAUAAAAGCUACCCUGGGAUAACAGGCUUAUCACUCCCAAGAGUUCACAUCGACGGAGUGGUUUGGCACCUCGAUGUCGGCUCAUCGCAUCCUGGGGCUGUAGUAGGUCCCAAGGGUUGGGCUGUUCGCCCAUUAAAGCGGUACGCGAGCUGGGUUCAGAAUGUCGUGAGACAGUUCGGUCCCUAUCCGGCGUGGGCGUAGGAUAUCUGAGAGGAGCUGUCCUUAGUACGAGAGGACCGGGAUGGACGGGCCGCUGGUGCAUCGGUUAGACUGCCAAGUCUACGGCCGAGUAGCCAAGCCCGGAAGGGAUAAACGCUGAAGGCAUCUAAGCGUGAAGCCCCCCUUAAGAUGAGAUAUCCCAUUCGAAAGAAGUAAACCCCCUUGAAGACGACGAGGUAGAUAGGGCAGAGGUGGAAGUGUGGCAACACAUGGAGCUGACUGUUACUAAUCGGGUGAGGGCUUGACCUG
RNAcentral lists this ribosomal RNA (1337 nucleotides) under metagenome. Its description in RNAcentral is "bacterial LSU rRNA". It matches the Rfam family "Bacterial large subunit ribosomal RNA", at positions 1570 to 2925 of the family's 2925-position model. The record is from RNAcentral.